Long non-coding RNA from Siniperca chuatsi (mandarin fish), 240 nucleotides. RefSeq lists it as uncharacterized. NCBI's taxonomy places the organism in Eukaryota, Metazoa, Chordata, Actinopteri, Centrarchiformes, Sinipercidae. The transcript has 3 exons. The record is from RefSeq and is a predicted model, not a curated record.
AGUUGCUAGAAGCACAAGGAGUGGGACAUUUGAAUUUAACUGCUUAAUGGACACAUAGGAAUAUUUUCAACCAACUGUUUUACAUCUUCUGUGUCAAGGAAAUACAUGACAACAUAAAAGCAUCAUUCCUGUGCAACGAGGUUUGUCUGCACCUUCUCUAUAACACAAGAUCAGUAAGGAGUCCAUGCACAAUAUCCAAUCUACCUAUGCUGUCCACAUUUUUCCUGAGCUUGACUGGUU